RNAcentral lists this ribosomal RNA (480 nucleotides) under Triticum aestivum (bread wheat). RNAcentral describes it as "partial small subunit ribosomal RNA". Lineage: Eukaryota; Viridiplantae; Streptophyta; Magnoliopsida; Poales; Poaceae. The record is from RNAcentral.
AUGAGGGUAGGACUCCGAAGUCUGAAAAGCACUUCCGCUUCAACCAGAGUCACCUACAACAAUAGGUGCUCCAAUGCAUAUUCGACUUGUUGUGCUACAAAGCCAGAAGUGCUACCAGUGGAAACACCCUCAUCGGAUAUGCUUGUUGAUUCCUUCGGGAGAUUCCACAACUACUUGAGGAUCUCCUUGACUGAGCACUGUAACCUGAGAUGUCAAUACUGCAUGCUUGCCGAAGGAGUCGAGCUCACACCAAAGUCAGAGCUUCUGUCGCAUGAUGAGAUAAUCCGAGUUGCCAAUCUUUUUGUUACUUCUGGUGUGGACAAGAUCAGGUUAACUGGUGGAGAACCAACCGUUAGAGAAGACCUUGAAGAUAUUUGCUUUGCAUCUUUCUGGCCUCAAGGGGCUGAAAACUCUUGCGAUGACCACAAGUGGGAUCGUUCUUUCCAAGAAGCUCCCGAGAGUGAAAGAAUGUGGUCUUAA